Molecule: ribosomal RNA, 530 nt
Filed under: Salmonella enterica subsp. enterica serovar Typhimurium
Lineage: Bacteria; Pseudomonadati; Pseudomonadota; Gammaproteobacteria; Enterobacterales; Enterobacteriaceae
Description: partial 23S ribosomal RNA
Rfam family: Bacterial large subunit ribosomal RNA
Source: RNAcentral
CUAAGCGUACACGGUGGAUGCCCUGGCAGUCAGAGGCGAUGAAGGGCGUGCUAAUCUGCGAUAAGCGCCGGUAAGGUGAUAUGAACCGUUAUAACCGGCGAUACCCGAAUGGGGAAACCCAGUGUGAUUCGUCACACUAUCAUUAACUGAAUCCAUAGGUUAAUGAGGCGAACCGGGGGAACUGAAACAUCUAAGUACCCCGAGGAAAAGAAAUCAACCGAGAUUCCCCCAGUAGCGGCGAGCGAACGGGGAGGAGCCCAGAGCCUGAAUCAGCAUGUGUGUUAGUGGAAGCGUCUGGAAAGGCGCGCGAUACAGGGUGACAGCCCCGUACACAAAAGCGCAUGUGCUGUGAGCUCGAUGAGUAGGGCGGGACACGUGGUAUCCUGUCUGAAUAUGGGGGGACCAUCCUCCAAGGCUAAAUACUCCUGACUGACCGAUAGUGAACCAGUACCGUGAGGGAAAGGCGAAAAGAACCCCGGCGAGGGGAGUGAAAAAGAACCUGAAACCGUGUACGUACAAGCAGUGGGAGC